RNAcentral lists this non-coding RNA (26 nucleotides) under Bombyx mori (domestic silkworm). The record is from RNAcentral. Lineage: Eukaryota; Metazoa; Arthropoda; Insecta; Lepidoptera; Bombycidae.
CUAUAGUUGGUGAAAUGCGGUUAAGU